This 645-nucleotide long non-coding RNA is filed under the name Equus caballus (horse). RNAcentral's name for it is "lncRNA (ENSECAG00000051588.1)". Lineage: Eukaryota; Metazoa; Chordata; Mammalia; Perissodactyla; Equidae. The record is from RNAcentral.
UUCCUGAACUGAACAAUUCACAAGUACUAAAUUGCAUGCUAUUCUGAGUAGUGUGAUGAAACCUUGCACCGUCUUGCUCUGUCCUGCUGGGUAGAUGAAGAAGGUUAUCUAAAGAAAAAUCACAAAGAGUCAAUGACUUCAGCCCUUGGGGCAGGAGGAGAAGAUGCAGUUACAGGAAUCACUCAGCCCUGGACAUUCGGAAACUUUCUUGUGCACUGGGAAGGACUCUGGUGCAAUUUUCAGGUUUUCUUUCUGACUCUUGUAUUUUCUGCCUUCAGGAUUUCUGUAUUCACACGCCAGCUUCUUCAAAACUGUAAUGUACAAAAGACUAACUGCUAACUGAUGAUGUUUAGACAAAGGUUGCCUUGAUCGAAUACAUUUGAGACACUCAUUCUCAAUCUUUUUCAGGGAUUUGAGUCCUCAGAAAUAAUGCAGAUAAAAAUUUACCAACUGUCAUGGGGCUGCCCUCGUGGCCGAGUGGUUGAGUUCGCGUGCUCCGCUGCAGGUGGCCCAGUGUUUUGUUGGUUCGAAUCCUGGGCGCGGACAUGGCACUGCUCAUCAGGCCACGCUGAGGCAGCAUCCCACAUGCCACAGCUGGAGGGACCCACAGCGAAGAAUAUACAACUAUGUACCAGGGGCCUUGGG